AAUGGGGGAUUGAAGUUUGGACCAAUUCGACGCAGAACGUUAUUCUAAGCAAAAAAUUGUUCUACGAAAUGCCUCUAAAAUGCACAGAUUUUUUUAUAAAAUUAAUUUUGUUUACAAAGUACGAACCUAAAUCGACCCAAUUUUGUCAGCCGCCUAAAAUGUGCCGGAGGCCAUUUCCAGUCUCGAUGAAAAUAAGUAUGUGUAAGGUGUUCUGCAGCAAGAACUACAUGGGUAUCGACAAUUCUGAUCAAAAGAAUUGCUAAAAACAGUGUAAAAUCAAAAAAAAAACAGGGCCGCCAUUUUGUAAUUUUCUUACGGUCGGCUUCUAAAAUGCACAGAU
Long non-coding RNA from Bradysia coprophila, 340 nucleotides. Lineage: Eukaryota; Metazoa; Arthropoda; Insecta; Diptera; Sciaridae. The record is from RefSeq and is a predicted model, not a curated record.